Molecule: RNA transcript, 4237 nt
Organism: Terrapene triunguis (Three-toed box turtle)
Lineage: Eukaryota; Metazoa; Chordata; Testudines; Emydidae
Gene: EFR3A
Gene name: EFR3 homolog A
Exons: 27
Source: RefSeq, a predicted model, not a curated record
AGUUAUCUUUGAGAGGUUCAUUCUCGUUGGUUGUUAUAACCAUUAAAAUGUUGAUUUGCAACUAAAGCUUAUUUCAUCUUGCAAAACUGAAGACAAAUUCCUGGCUAACAAUGCCUGAUAAAAUUACUUUGCAACUGGUUUUCGUAUCAGUCGUUGAUUAAUCUUCAUGUCCAGCAUUAUUUGAUCCUGAUUUCUGAAUCAUGGGACGGACAGUCUUCUAGUACAUUACAUGAAUACUGCUAAACUGAGCUGAAAAGAUGCUGAACUGUUGAAAAAGGACAGCUAAAAAGAAUAGAAUACGUGGAAAGUAACCUCGCAUACAGGAUGAGGCAAUAUGUUCAAGUUCCGACAGUUGAACAGGAAAAUACCUAUGACUACAAUCCUGCAUGGGAGCCAAGUCCAUUUAUGCAUUUGGGAGUAUGCUGUUGCUGUGCUGCUUUGCGCCCUCGUUACAAACGUCUGGUGGAUAACAUAUUCCCCGAAGACCCCAAAGAUGGUCUUGUUAAAGCUGAUAUGGAGAAGCUGACUUUCUAUGCAGUUUCUGCACCAGAGAAGCUGGAUCGAAUUGGAGCUUACCUAGCAGAGAGACUGAGCAGAGAUGUUGUCAGACAUCGCUACGGGUAUGUUUUAAUCGCCAUGGAGGCACUGGACCAACUUUUAAUGGCUUGCCAUUCUCAAAGCAUUAAACCAUUUGUGGAAAGUUUCCUUCAGAUGGUGGCCAAGCUUCUAGAGUCAGGGGAACCAAAGCUGCAAGUUCUUGGAACCAAUUCUUUUGUCAAAUUUGCCAACAUUGAGGAAGACACCCCUUCAUAUCACAGACGCUAUGACUUUUUUGUUUCUCGAUUUAGUGCCAUGUGUCAUUCCUGUCACAGUGAUCCAGAAACACGAACUGAGAUCCGGAUUGCUGGAAUCAGAGGCAUUCAGGGAGUAGUACGUAAAACAGUUAAUGAUGAGCUCAGAGCAACCAUAUGGGAGCCUCAGCAUAUGGACAAGAUAGUUCCCUCGCUGCUGUUUAAUAUGCAGAAGAUAGAAGACCUUGACAGUCGAAUUGGCCCACCCUCUUCCCCUACAGGAGGAGAGAAAGAGGAGAACCCUGCUGUGCUGGCCGAGAAUUGUUUUAGAGAACUGUUGGGCCGAGCAACCUAUGGGAAUAUGAACAAUGCUGUUAGACCAGUUUUUGCACAUUUAGACCAUCACAGACUAUGGGACCCCAAUGAAUUUGCUGUCUCCUGCUUCAAAAUCAUCAUGUAUUCUAUACAGGCACAAUACUCCCAUCAUGUAAUACAGGAGACUCUUGGACACCUUGAUGCUCGCAAAAGGGAUUCGCCACGAGUCCGAGCAGGCAUUAUUCAGGUUCUUUUGGAAGCAGUUGCCAUUGCUGCUAAAGGAUCCAUAGGCCCAACUGUCUUGGAAGUGUUUAAUACCCUACUGAAGCACUUGCGUCUCAGUGUUGAUUUUGAAUUAGGUGAGAGGCGUAGCUCAACUGGCAGUGCCAGUUUCAGCACAAGCUCCAAAGAAAGCGACGAGAGGAUUGUCCAGAAUGCCAUUAUUCAAACAAUUGGGUUUUUUGGGAGCAAUCUCCCAGAUUACCAGCGGUCAGAGAUUAUGAUGUUCGUUAUGGGGAAAGUACCUGUUUUUGGGACAUCCUCACAUUCGCUGGAUACCAGCCACCUUGGGGAUUUGGGAACUAGGCGGAUUCAGAUCAUGUUGCUGAGAUCUUUACUUAUGGUGACUUCAGGAUAUAAUGCAAAGACUAUUGCUGCUGCUCUUCCUGCCCCAUUUCUUGAUCCUUUAUUGUCUCCUUCACUCAUGGAAGACUCUGAACUAAGACAGCUGGUCUUGGAAAUAUUGCAUAAUCUUAUUGAUCGGCAUGACAACAGAGCAAAACUUAGAGGAAUAAGAAUAAUACCAGAUGUUUCUGAUCUAAAGAUAAAACGAGACAAAAUUUCAAGGCAAGACGUGAGCUUCAUGAAGAAGCAUGGGCAGCAGUUGUACAGGCACAUCUACUUAGGCUGUAAAGAAGAAGAUAAUGUCCAAAAGAAUUUUGAGCUGCUGUACACGUCUCUAGCUCUUAUAACAAUCGAACUAGCCAAUGAAGAAGUGGUUAUUGACCUCAUUCGAUUGGCCAUUGCUUUGCAGGAUAUCGUCAUCAUUAAUGAGGAUAACUUGCCAAUGUUCAAUCGCUGUGGUGUCAUGGCACUGGUUGCAGCCUACCUCAACUUUCUAAGUCAGAUGAUUGCAGUCCCUGCCUUUUGCCAGCAUGUCAGCAAGGUCAUUGAAACACGAACUGUGGAAGCACCCUAUUUUCUACCAGAAAACAUCUUCAAAGACAAGCGCAUUCUUCCCAAAUCUUUGGAGAAGCAUGAAAAAAACUUGUUUUUCCUGACAAACAAGAUUGCAGAAUCAUUAGGCGGCAGUGGAUACAGUGUGGAAAGAUUGUCGGUGCCAUAUGUGCCCCAGGUAACAGAUGAAGAUAGACUCUCCAGAAGGAAGAGCGUUGUGGACACAGUAUCUAUUCAGGUGGAUAUUCUGCCUGGCAACAACACAGAGGAUAAGGUCAAUAAUACUGAAGAAAUCACCUUUGAAGCUUUGAAGAAAGCAAUUGAUAAUACUGGACUUGAAGAGCAGGAGAAAGAAAAGAGGCGUCUUGUGAUUGAAAAGUUCCAAAAAGCACCUUUUGAAGAAAUUGCAGCACAGUGUGAAACAAAAGCAAACUUUCUUCAUGAUAGACUUGCACAGAUAUUGGAGCUCACCAUUCGUCCUCCUCCUAGCCCCUCGGGAACGAUGACCAUUACUGCUGGACAUGCUCAUUACCAAUCCGUUCCAGUCUAUGAGAUGAAGUUUCCAGAUCUUUGUGUGUAUUAAGUGUCUUCUGAAGUCUGCAGGACAUUAUUUAGAGUAGAGUACAAUAAACAGACCAAGAUGAGUUUUCAAGUUCUUUGUUAAUUUAGAUUAAGUAAAUAGCUUUUUAGAAAAAAUGGUGGACCUACAGCACAUAGGAAUGAUUUUUAACCAAACUUUCAGUUUGACAGUGCAAUCACAGCUGUUAGUGGAUGACGAAACAACCUCUUACCUACAGCAUUCCGUUGUGAUUGUUACUGCUGCAACGUAUCAUCCUGAUCAGACCAGAGUCAACAGCAUUAGUAGAACUCGUUGUCACCUUAGUUUUUAGUUUUCACUUUUUGUUUUUUAAGGUAAGAUAUUAGAUUUUGACCUAUAUAAACAGAGUGUAUUUUUUUUAAUUAGAUGUAAGCUAGGGACGCAAUGUAAAACAAUCAUCAUCCACACUGAUGUGAUUUUUAUAAAGUAACACUGUGCACAUUUGUACAAAAAAGAAAUAGAAUUAAAGAGUCUAAAGAAUAAGAAAUAAAGAAUGUACUUUCAUUUGCACUCUUGUAGUACGCAGACUGUGGUGUAAAUACAGAAUUUUCUCAGAUUAACUAAAUUCUGUUGCAUGUAUACUGCAUGUGAAAAAUUAUAUUCAGCAUUUCAUGUACCAUUCAUUUGAAGUCUAUUGACGAAGAAUUUUUUUCAUUUAAUCACAAGAUAGGCUCCCACAUGUCCUAAAUUCAGACUAGUCUUGUUCAGGAUGUGCAGAUGUUAAGGAACUAAAGAUCUGUAAUCUUUUGGAAUUUUGCCUGAUAUAUAAUUUCUUUCCUGCUGAAAAUGCAGAGAGUCUGCAAAUUGAGUACUGUGGCCACUUUGAACAGAUGAGAAUUGAGGAUUUGUGGAAAUCUGCUGCAUAAUAUGUUGUACUCAUAGUUUACUGUAAGUAAUAAAUUGUAGGUAUUUUGAAAUCAAAUUGUUCAGAAUGCUGUUUUUAUGUAUACAGUUGCUUUGAAUCCCUUAUUUCUUUCUGGUCUUGAAAAGAGUUGCAGAGCUUAGAAUACAAAGUGUGCAUACUGGGCUUGUAGUGUCUGUGACAGUUUGAAUACUGUUUGAAUGUUUAUCACUUCAUGUCCAGUUGACAUUUGUAUGUAUUCCAGCUUGUGCUUUAAAUUCUUUUAAAUGUAAUGUCACUUUGAGUAAUUAUGGUUUUUGAUAGCAGUUCAUUUUAAGGUAAAUUAAAAUUGUUAAUUCAGAAGAAACAAAAUUAGCCUGUUCAGAGUAAGGCUAAUUUGUCUGUUUUAUUGAUGCCCAUACAUUCUGUACUGUUAGUGUUGAGCCAGUUUCAUGAAAUGUAAGAAUACACUGUGCAAUGUACAUUUCAGCAAUAAAAUAAACCAAAAAGUUAAAA